UAUAUUCUUCGGGGCGAGGGGAAGAUCCUCACCGGCGGUUAUAGCCCGCGAAUCCCAACCGAAAGUGUUGGGACUGAACAGAUGAAAUUUCUGUGCCGACGGUAUAGUCCGGAUGGUAGAAGAAUAAG
This 128-nucleotide non-coding RNA is filed under the name Elusimicrobiota bacterium. Its description in RNAcentral is "Elusimicrobia bacterium FMN sequence". It matches the Rfam family "FMN riboswitch aptamer (RFN element)". From Rfam's summary of the family: The RFN element is a highly conserved domain that is found frequently in the 5'-untranslated regions of prokaryotic mRNAs that encode for flavin mononucleotide (FMN) biosynthesis and transport proteins. This element is a metabolite-dependent riboswitch that directly binds FMN in the absence of proteins. The record is from RNAcentral. Lineage: Bacteria; Pseudomonadati; Elusimicrobiota.